AACGAACGCUGGCGGCAGGCCUAACACAUGCAAGUCGAACGCCCUGGCAACAGGGAGUGGCAGACGGGUGAGUAACGCGUGGGAACGUGCCCUUCGGUUCGGAAUAACUCAGGGAAACUUGAGCUAAUACCGAAUACGUGCGAGAGCAGAAAGAUUUAUCGCCGAAGGAUCGGCCCGCGUCCGAUUAGCUAGUUGGUGAGGUAAUGGCUCACCAAGGCGACGAGCGGGAGCUGGUCUGAGAGGAUGAUCAGCCACACUGGGACUGAGACACGGCCCAGACUCCUACGGGAGGCAGCAGUGGGGAAUAUUGGACAAUGGGCGCAAGCCUGAUCCAGCCAUGCCGCGUGAGUGAUGAAGGCCCUAGGGUUGUAAAGCUCUUUCGCCAGGGACGAUAAUGACGGUACCUGGAUAAGAAGCCCCGGCUAACUUCGUGCCAGCAGCCGCCGUAA
This 449-nucleotide ribosomal RNA is filed under the name uncultured bacterium. RNAcentral's name for it is "partial 16S ribosomal RNA". It matches the Rfam family "Bacterial small subunit ribosomal RNA", at positions 29 to 523 of the family's 1533-position model. The record is from RNAcentral.